This 171-nucleotide small RNA is filed under the name Streptomyces sp. RNAcentral's name for it is "c-di-AMP sequence". It matches the Rfam family "c-di-AMP riboswitch aptamer (ydaO/yuaA leader)". Rfam says of the family: This family represents a conserved RNA structure found upstream of the ydaO and yuaA genes in Bacillus subtilis and related genes in other bacteria. The ydaO/yuaA element is thought to act as a genetic "off" switch for the ydaO and yuaA genes in its native state. The record is from RNAcentral. Lineage: Bacteria; Bacillati; Actinomycetota; Actinomycetes; Kitasatosporales; Streptomycetaceae. RNAcentral also lists the same sequence under 1 other name.
UCGCGUCAAGCGCCGUAGGCAGGAGCGGGGGACCCAAGGUAGGCGCCGCACCGGGCAGUUGACCGGAGUGGCUUGGGGUGAAGCCGCGCCUCGUGAAAGCGAGAGCGUGGCCGGGCAACUCAACCGGCCCGAACCCGACAGCUCACCUCGCAGGCGUCGGUGAGGGGAUCC